UCGACGGAGAAUUUUAUUUCGGUAGAAUUCUUAGUGGCGAACGGGUGAGUCACGCGUAGGCAUCCUGCCCUUUAGACGGGGACAACAUUCCGAAAGGAGUGCUAAUACCGGAUGUGAUCAUCGUGCCGCAUGGCAGGAUGAAGAAAGAUGGCCUCUACAAGUAAGCUAUCGCUAAAGGAUGGGCCUGCGUCUGAUUAGCUAGUUGGUAGUGUAACGGACUACCAAGGCGAUGAUCAGUAGCCGGUCUGAGAGGAUGAACGGCCACAUUGGGACUGAGACACGGCCCAAACUCCUACGGGAGGCAGCAGUGGGGAAUCUUCCGCAAUGGACGAAAGUCUGACGGAGCAACGCCGCGUGAGUGAUGAAGGAUUUCGGUCUGUAAAACUCUGUUGUUUAUGACGAACGUGCAGUGUGUGAACAAUGCAUUGCAAUGACGGUAGUAAACGAGGAAGCCACGGCUAACUACGUGCCAGCAGCCGCGGUAAUACGUAGGUGGCGAGCGUUGUCCGGAAUUAUUGGGCGUAAAGAGCAUGUAGGCGGCUUAAUAAGUCGAGCGUGAAAAUGCGGGGCUCAACCCCGUAUGGCGCUGGAAACUGUUAGGCUUGAGUGCAGGAGAGGAAAGGGGAAUUCCCAGUGUAGCGGUGAAAUGCGUAGAUAUUGGGAGGAACACCAGUGGCGAAGGCGCCUUUCUGGACUGUGUCUGACGCUGAGAUGCGAAAGCCAGGGUAGCGAACGGGAUUAGAUACCCCGGUAGUCCUGGCCGUAAACGAUGGGUACUAGGUGUAGGAGGUAUCG
This 795-nucleotide ribosomal RNA is filed under the name uncultured bacterium. RNAcentral describes it as "bacterial SSU rRNA". It matches the Rfam family "Bacterial small subunit ribosomal RNA", at positions 62 to 834 of the family's 1533-position model. The record is from RNAcentral.